CCNAUGUAUGCUUUGGAAACUGUUAGACUUGAGUGCAGAAGGGGAGAGUGGAAUNCCAUGUGUAGCGGUGAAAUGCGUAGAUAUAUGGAGGANCACCGGUGGCGAAAGCGGCUCUCUGGUCUGUCACUGACGCUGAGGCUCGAAAGCGAGGGUAGCGAACAGGAUUAGAUACCCUGGUAGUNCACGCCGUAAACGCUGAGUGCUAGGUGUUAGGUCCUUUCCGGGACUUAGUGCCGACGCUAACGCAUUAAGCACUCCGCCUGGGGAGUACGACCGCAAGGUUGAAACUCAAAGGAAUUGACGGGGGCCCGCACAAGCGGUGGAGCAUGUGGUUUAAUUCGAAGCAACGCGAAGAACCUUACCAGGUCUUGACAUCCCGAUGCCCGCUCUAGAGAUAGAGUUUUUCUUCGGGACAUCGGAGACAGGUGGUGCAUGGUUGUCGUCAGCUCGUGUCGUGAGAUGUUGGGUUAAGUCCCGCAACGAGCGCAACCCUUAUUGUUAGUUGCCAUCAUUAAGUUGGGCACUCUAGCGAGACUGCCGGUAAUAAACCGGAGGAAGGUGGGGAUGACGUCAAAUCAUCAUGCCCCUUAUGACCUGGGCUACACACGUGCUACAAUGGUUGGUACAACGAGUCGCGAGCCGGUGACGGCAAGCUAAUCUCUGAAAGCCAAUCUCAGUUCGGAUUGUAGGCUGCAACUCGCCUACAUGAAGUCGGAAUCGCUAGUAAUCGCGGAUCAGCACGCCGCGGUGAAUACGUUCCCGGGCCUUGUACACACCGCCCGUCACACCACGAGAGUUUGUAACACCCAAAGUCGGUGAGGUAACCAUUUAUGGGGCCAGC
RNAcentral lists this ribosomal RNA (841 nucleotides) under uncultured bacterium. RNAcentral's name for it is "bacterial SSU rRNA". It matches the Rfam family "Bacterial small subunit ribosomal RNA", at positions 614 to 1453 of the family's 1533-position model. The record is from RNAcentral.